UCUCCCCAAAGAGAACCAAUUUUUAACUAAUGUCAUUGUUAGCACUAAUUAAAUUCUAUAGAAAGUGAUGCAAAAGUGGCCGUGAAAUGUCCAUCAAUGACACGCUGGUGGAAUGCGGAGGACGCUGCUAACUCCUUCGGGAAGUAGCAAACAGGAAGAUAAGACCCAAUGAAAAAACUCAAACAGUCAAACAGGUGGAAGCGGAUGUAAAGUUUGUCGAGAGUGAUAGAGAUGUACACAUAAUAACUAUCCAAAGUCCGGUGCAGAGUGAAAGUUUCACUGUCUGGAGAAUUUGUGAUUUUCCCAAUAUUAAGACGAGUUAUUAGAAGGAAGCAUCGAUUGUCAAUGCUUUUAUCAUGAUUUUAGUGAGAGACUGCAUAAGUGAUCCGCGAUGCUAAAUGAAAUAUCUAGCUUACCAGCUAGUACAUUUUAUAAAUCAAGAGUUCAAGGAAAAUUAGGAACUUUGGCAGGUGAAAGUGUGAAACACCAUAGGCAGUGUCAAUGGUAACGGAGAAGAUUUAGGCUGCCUGAGAAAAUAAAGGUCAAUUGACAGUCACAACAUACAAACUAAGUAUUUUUUAUUUCUU
Long non-coding RNA from Lycium ferocissimum, 587 nucleotides. RefSeq lists it as uncharacterized. NCBI's taxonomy places the organism in Eukaryota, Viridiplantae, Streptophyta, Magnoliopsida, Solanales, Solanaceae. The transcript is spliced from 4 exons. The record is from RefSeq and is a predicted model, not a curated record.